This is a long non-coding RNA of Talpa occidentalis (Iberian mole), 202 nucleotides long. RefSeq lists it as uncharacterized. NCBI's taxonomy places the organism in Eukaryota, Metazoa, Chordata, Mammalia, Eulipotyphla, Talpidae. The record is from RefSeq and is a predicted model, not a curated record. The transcript is spliced from 3 exons.
AAAUCCUCGGUACCUGAGACAGAAGCCUAUCCCAGUAACUCUGAUGACACCCAGAUCCAGCCUGAGAAAAUCUAGCAGCCUCCACGAUGAUCACUUAUUCUCUCGAAUGCAUGAGAAAGAGUUGGACAUGAAAACAAAAAUGAUGGAAGCCAAAUAUCAUGAAGAGAAACUUAAACUGCAGCAGAAGCAUGAUGCUGAUGUU